This 97-nucleotide transfer RNA is filed under the name Rasamsonia emersonii. RNAcentral describes it as "tRNA-Asn". It matches the Rfam family "tRNA". Rfam says of the family: Transfer RNA (tRNA) molecules are approximately 80 nucleotides in length. Their secondary structure includes four short double-helical elements and three loops (D, anti-codon, and T loops). Further hydrogen bonds mediate the characteristic L-shaped molecular structure. tRNAs have two regions of fundamental functional importance: the anti-codon, which is responsible for specific mRNA codon recognition, and the 3' end, to which the tRNAs corresponding amino acid is attached (by aminoacyl-tRNA synthetases). tRNAs cope with the degeneracy of the genetic code in two manners: having more than one tRNA (with a specific anti-codon) for a particular amino acid; and 'wobble' base-pairing, i.e. permitting non-standard base-pairing at the 3rd anti-codon position. RNAcentral also lists the same sequence under 1 other name. The record is from RNAcentral. Lineage: Eukaryota; Fungi; Ascomycota; Eurotiomycetes; Eurotiales; Trichocomaceae.
GUCUCCGUGGCGCAAUCGGUUUAGCGCGUCUGACUGUUAUCCGAGCCCCAUCGGAGCUGACAUCAGGAGGUUGGCAGUUCGAGCCUGCCCGGGGACG